CUUGAUCGAACCGAGGAGCAGUGGCUGCCCCUCCGCCCGCUCCUGGCCGUACGUCGCCAGCAGCGCCUGCGCCUC
This 75-nucleotide antisense RNA is filed under the name Streptomyces lavendulae subsp. lavendulae. RNAcentral describes it as "ASpks TB sRNA". It matches the Rfam family "ASpks TB sRNA". Lineage: Bacteria; Bacillati; Actinomycetota; Actinomycetes; Kitasatosporales; Streptomycetaceae. The record is from Rfam by way of RNAcentral.